UUUUUUGUUUAUUUCAGCCAUGACUCCUAAUCAUACCAAAGAAUAUUCACCAGAAAAGGGCCUAAAACAUAUAUUUCAUGAAGUGAUAAGUGCAAAAUAUAGAAGUUGUGAUCUUGACUAUUUCCAACAAAAGAAAAUAUGGAAAACUACUAGUGAGAGUGAAGACCAGAAAUCAUAUAAAAACUCAGGCAUUGUCCAUAACCAGAUAAUUUAUACUGGAGAGAAGCCCUACAAAUAUAAAGAAUGUUGCAAAGCUUUUAGUAAAAAAAAAACUCUUAUUUACCACAGAGGAACUCACAAUGCAGAGAAGCCCUACAAAUGUACAGAAUGUGGCAAAGCUUUUGGUAAAACAUCACACCUUAUUUGCCACAGCAGAACUCACACUGGAGAGAAGCCCUACAAAUGUAAAGUUUGUGGCAAAGCUUUUGGUCGGAAAUCAGGCCUUAUUUACCACAGCAGAACUCACACUGGAGAGAAGCCCUACAAAUGUAAAGAUUGUGGCAAAGCUUUUGGUCGAAAAUCAAACCUUAUUUACCACAGCAGAACUCAUACUGGAGAGAAGCCCUACAAAUGUAAAGAUUGUGGCAAAGUUUUUGGUCAAAAAUCAGUCCUGAUUUACCAUAGCAGAACUCACACUGGAGAGAAGCCCUACAAAUGUAAAGAAUGUGGCAAAUCUUUUGGUAAAAAAUCACCCCUUAUUUGCCACAGCAGAACUCACACUGGAGAGAAGCCUUACAAAUGUAAAGAGUGUGGCAAAGCUUUUGGUCAAAAAUCACACCUUAUUUGCCACAGCAGAACUCACACUGGAGAGAAGCCCUACAAAUGUAAAGAGUGUGGCAAAGCUUUUGGUCAAAAAUCACAACUUAUUCGCCACAGCAGAAAUCACACUGGAGAGAAGCCCUACAAAUGUAAAGAAUGUGACAAAACUUUUGGUCAAAAAUCACAACUUAUUCGCCACAUCAGAAAUCACACUGGAGAGAAGCCCUACAAAUGUACAGAAUGUGACAAAACUUUUGGUCAAAAAUCAGACCUUAUUCGCCACAUCAGAAAUCACACUGGAGAGAAGCCCUACAAAUGUACAGAAUGUGGCAAAGCAUUCAGUCAAAAAUCAUACCUUACUUGCCACAUCAGAACUCUCACUGGAGAGAAGCCCUACAAAUGUAAAGGUUGUGGCAAAGCUUUUGGUCAAAAAUUAGACCUUAUUCACCACAGUAGAACUCACACUGGAGAGAAGCCCUACAAAUGUAAAGAAUGUGGCAAAGCUUUUACUCAAAAAUAGGCUUUAUUUGCCACCUCAGAACUCACACUAUAGAGAAGCCUUACAAAUAUAAAGAAUGUGGAAAAGUGUUCAGUCAAAAAUCACACCUUAUUUGCCACAACAGAACUCACAGAGGAGAGAAGCCUCACAAAUGCAAGUAUGUGACAAAGUUUUUACUCAAAUUUUACCCCUUAUUUGUCACAGAUGAAUUUACACUGAAGGGAAGCCUUACAAUUAUAAGGAUUGUUGCAAAGCUUUUAGCAAUAAAACAGGCCUUAUUCACCACAACAGAACUCAUGCUGGAGAAUAGCCCUACAAAUGUGAAUAAUGUGGAAAAGCUUUUAAUAAAAAAUAAAACUUUAGUCACCACAGCAGAAGUCAUGCUGUUGAAUGUGAAAUAUGAAUAAAGUGAUAAUACUUUUAAAGAAAGACUAAACCUUGGGGCUGGGGUUGUGGUUCAGUGGUAGAGUGCUAGCCUUGCAUGUGUGAGAUCCGGGGUUUUAUCCUCAGAACCACAUAAAAAUACAUAAGUGAAAUAAAGGUAUUGUGUCCAACUACAACUAAAAAAUAAACAUUAAAAAAGAAAGACUAAACCUUAUUAACAACAGAAUUUAUACAGAAAAGAACCCCUACAAAUUGAAACAAUUCAGCAAAGCUUUUAAUAAGAAAUCAAUUCUUUUCACAACUAGGCUACUUAUUCUGGAAAGAAGACAUCUAAAUUUAGAGAAUGUAAAAAAAUUUAAAUUAUAUAUCAUACAUUACUAGACAUCAGAGAAAACACACUGGAGAAAAGCUCUACAACUGAGACCAUUGUACCAUUACUCUAAGAAAGGGACAACAUUUAAUCCUCACCACAAUAACCAUAGUGUAGAGAAAGUUUUGAAAUGUGAAAAUUGAUAAUGUGACAAUGCCUCCAAAAUUUAUUCACCAAUACUCAGCACUUGUGGAUACAUACUGGUUAGAGAAAAUACAAAUGGAAAAAAAUGUAGCUGCAUGUUCUUAAACACUGCUUAUUUUUGGAGAAUUCAUCGUGCCCAGAAACUCUAAAAAGUUAAAUAAUAUUUCCAAAAUGUAUUUAAAUUUUAAAUUCAUUGAACAUCUGAAAACUCAUACUAGCAGUGAACAUUGAACAGAUUUUGUCCAAAAUGUAUGCCUUAUAUAACAAUGAAACAUUUAUAAUAAAUGUGAGAGUAUAGUAAAGUUAUUAUCUAUAUAUUACACCUUGAUGUAUAUGAGGAUCAGUAAAAUACAGAACUCAUUUAAGUUUAGAAAACAAGUAGUUAUCUUUAAUUUUUGCUUAAAUUUAUUAAGCAUUAUCAAGUUAUUUUGUAGAAAUAUCAGUCAUAAAUAUCAAAUGCAUAGUGAAGAAACCUCAUCUUUGAAAGAAUAUAAUUGUUUUUAUAAAUUAAAAAUUACUAUUUUCACUUUUGAAUAGUGAUAAAAGAAUUAUAUGAAAUCUAUUUUUGAUGUUUAACACUGAAGUGUAAUAUUUUAAACUAUAAUUUGUUUUGUAUUUCAGUUUAAGUUUAGGUAUUUUUAUACACUGAGCCACAUUCCUAAGCCCUCUCUCCACUUUUUCAAAUUUUGAGACUGUAUUGCUAAGUUGCUUGAAACCACACUAAGUUGCUGAGGCUGAAUUUAAACUUAUGAAAUUACACAGCUUCGCAGUUUGCUUGGAUUACAAGCACAGACCAUCAUGUCAGGAUUGCAGUGCAUUUUUUAACCUAUAUUUACCUUAUGUAUGCAAUAUGUCUUUAUAACUGAAUAUUUGUUUAUAUGUUAACACUCAUGUAUUGCAUCCUGUUGUUAAAUGACAGACAUCAUAUUGUUCCACUUGACUAAAUGUUCUAUGUCACUGUAAAACAUACUGGUGAGUGAAUAAUACUCUAGCAUCUAUUAAUACUUUUACACAUUUUAAUCAAACUUAAUGUGGAAUACAAUUUGCAUAAGUCAGAUCAUUUUUUUUCUGUUUGUAUUUAUGGUGAAAUUAAGAGUUAUAAGAAGGAUAUAGAUAUAGGAAAAUAAGCCCCAGGUUUUCAUAUCUUGAUUUAUAAAUUUUAAAAUUUUAACUUUUUAAUAUUUUAAGAUUUCCUAGUGAUUUUAAUAUACUGAAUUUCCACAAACUUAAGGGUAGCUCUUACAGGAGAGGAGAUCUUUAUCUUUCUUGUGUGCAUAAUGGCCUUCUAGACUUCAUCCUCAUUGGAGACAUUUCAUUUUUCUGUGAAUGAGGUCAAUGAUCAGUGUUUUCAUGUACAUUAGUAAAUUCUGAUAUCUUUGUUAUUCUAUAGGUAGUGUUAUUUCAGGGCAGGAAUUGGAGAAAUGGAUGUGGAGUCAAAGGUGACUGAGGCCUUAUACUUAUGACAAAAUAAUCAAUGAGCUAUGAUUUAUAGUCUCAUUUUCUGAGGACCAAGUAAUAAGAGGUAAACUGAGAAGGUUGUAUGUAAAGAUUAAGUUUCUUAUCAUAAAAUGUUGGCUUUUCAGGUACGAAAGGGUAAAAGCUUAUUAUACACAGAAUCCAUACAAAAAUCAUAUUGAACAUCAUUCACAAUUUUAUUAACCAUGAUUACAUAUAAUUCAUGAAGACCUGAGUUUACAGCAACAUAUGCCUAAGAACAAGGUCUAGGGACAUUUUACACUCUCCAAUAUAGACAUAUUUAUACAAAUUUAAUUAUACAUGAAACUACACUAAAUGAGAAGAAAAAUCAAUUGGAUCAACACACAACAAUAUAUAAAUAAAAGCUUGUAAAGACUUAAGCAACUGACCAAUAGUGGAUGAAGUGUGGUUUCCAAAUGCUAGGGGAAAAAUGGACAUAUAAUCAGUUAAAGGUAAUUGAAGAAAGAUAACUUACCCACUUUGAACUACAACAGCAUUUGAAAGAAGAAGAGUCACAAAGUAAGCAAAGAUUAUUCACCUCCAUUUGUAUGCUUUGUAAUAUUUUCCAAAAAUUUUCUGCAGAUUUUAUUGCACUCAAAUUGAGAAACAAUCCAGAAAGUUAAAAAAGACAAGUAUUGACCCUCUGGUUUUAAAAGCAAGAAAAGGAAUAGAGAGAGAUUUAUUGAGCUAGAAAAAUUUACUAGUUAGAGUGAAAAAAUAAAGAACUGAGAUUACCAGAAUCUAAGUAUAAUGUAUUUCAGCCAUCCCUGGCUGCACAGGGCAUUUUUGUUUAGCAAAGAAUUUGUUCAUGUAUGUACGCUUAAACAACAUUGCUGUUUUUAGUCAGUCUUUUUCAUUAAUAACAAUGAUGUACCUUUCAACAGUUUCCAGCCACAAAAAUACACAAUUUCAGAAAUCUUCUGUUUCAUCAUCCAUAUAUUCUGCCACAAUAUUCAACAGGGCAAGAUAAUAUAAACCUUUUGGCAGUCCCAUCAAGGCAUUCACUUCUAUUAAUACAAAAGUAUGAUACAUGGAACAACGUAAUUUUACUUAGUAAAAAUAUUUUUUUUCAUGAAAAAUAGAUUCUAACUCCUUUGUCUUGGGAUUCCAUUAGAAAAAUAUGAGGUAAUUAUACUGUAUAUUAUGACCUUAGGCUAUGAGCCUUAAAAUUACCUUAAAAUACAAAAGAAUAUUAAUGUUUAUUUUUAAAUAUAGUUUUUAUAUUUCAAAUAUUCAAAUUCCACAGCAAUCAAUGAUACAAAAACAUGAAGAAAAAAACUGCAGUUUGAUGUCUCAUCAUGACAUUUCAAUACCUGCUGUAGAUUGCCUGUGGCUUCCACUUUUAAUUUAAACAAAUAAUAAUUUUUCCAUACAAUUUGGGUGAAGUGGAGGACAAAAUCUCCUGCAUUGCUUUCCUGGGCAAGCCAUCAUACUUAAAACAACUGAAACCCAAAUCAAAAUACGUUUACUCUACAUUCUAAUUAUAUCAGUUCUUAACUCAUCUAGCAUAAAACAAAUCCACUUUCUUCUGGUUGAAUAUCUUGAGCUCAAAUAGAUGGAACCUGGGAGCUAAAAGAAGUAUGACAUAAAUAAUGAGGUCUCUUUUUUGCAUAAGGCAAAUUGCACUUUUUGUAUUUGAUUUUUCUGCCUGUGAAGAUCUACAUUUAUCUUCCUACAAUGGUAUUAUGAUUGAUGGUGACUUGUGUGAUUACAGGAGGCCUUAAAUGCAGCUACAUGUGUUUGAGUCCUUUCACUGGUAAAAUACUAUAAUUUCUACUCUAAUAGGAGACUCAGAAUGGUGCUAGAGAAACCUAUUUUUUAAAGAGAGAGUGAGAGACAGAGAGAGUGAGAGACAGAGAGAGUGAGAGAGAAUUAUUUGAUAUUUUAUUUUUUAGUUUUCAGUGGGCACAACAUCCUCAUUUGUGUGUGGUGCUGAGGAUUGAACCCGGCUGCACGCAUGCCAGGUGAGCACGCUACUGCUUGAGCCACAUCCCCAGCCCCAAACCUAUUUUUUAAUCUGCCUCUUUAUUCAUGGUUUUCUAGUGGUUUUGAUCUAGUCAGUUCAUACCAUUUCUGAUUAAUGGGUGUCAUCAAAAUAUAAAUUCCCUUUAUAAUCAUUAGCAAUGAGACAAUUCUUCCCAUUAAAAAUAAAAAACAUUCUCAUAUAGUCUUUGCUAUAUUCUAAGGAACCACUCUUGCUUUUGCUUUACUAAACAAAAUCAAUUCCACAUAUUUGAGUCCCAAAGUAAAUGGCAAGACAUUAAACUAAGCACCAUGAGGAAUAUAAGAAAUACAAGAUAUCACCUUUGAAAUAUAAAAAUAAGAAUCAGAAAUGCUAAGCCAUUACCAUGUAAGCUACACCAGAGCUUUUAAAAUGUAAUCUUAGAUGUUCUACUCACUCUCAUAGUAAGAUGCCUUAGACUCAAAGAUAUUUAAUCACUCACUAAAGGACACUCAGUGAAUGCAUAACAGUUCUUAUUCUAAAGCUUUUACAGAAUUUUUUGAUAAUACAUUGCAAAGUCUCACCUGUCUUCUUUCGAAAUAAGACACAGAGGUUGUUUUAGUCUGUUUUAUAAUGUUAUAGAAAAAUACCAGAAACAGGCCAAUGUAUAAAAAGAGAUAUAAAUGCAUAAAAAUUAUUUUCUGAGAGGCUAGGGUUGUGGCUCAGUGGUAAAGUGCUCACCUGUCACAUGCAAGAAGCUGGGUUCAAUUCUCAGCACCACAUAAAAAUGAAUAAAUAAAUAAAUAAAAUAAAGGUAUUGUGUCCAACUACAACUUGUAAAUAAAUAAAAAUAUUUUCGAGUACAUAGUUCUGAAGAUUUAAGUGCACUCUACCAGAAUCUUCUCAGCUCCUGUGACAGCUCCUUCACCCACAUUACACAUGAGGUAGCAUUAUGGUGAGGGCUCAUUUGAGAGGUAGAGAGAACAUAAUGAGACAGGAAGUCAGGAAAUUCAGAAAAAAAUACUUGCUCUUUUGAAACACCCAGCUUUAAUAAAAACUAUGUUGUGCCCCAUGAAAUUUAUAUUAACCCUCUCCAAGGACAUCUCCCCCAAUGAUCUAACCACAAUUUACUAGAUCUCACUUCUUAAACAUUCCACUAUUUUCCAACUCUCUCCCUUUGAAACUAAGUUCCAAACAAAUGAGCAUUUGGGGGACAUACUAAAUCAUAAUGAAAGUAAUAUGAGAGAGACAAUGGUAAAAAUGAGACAUAGAAUGUCAUUUCUUAGUAAUUAUAAAGAUUCUAGAUACUACAAUAAAAUGCUUUAGAGUAUAGAAAUUAUUUUAGGUUGAUAUUUUAUUUUAAAGACAAUAGGGAAUUACUUUUUGAAGAAUGAAUGAAUUUGAAUGCGACAAGACUAAUGGGCUAGGUAUAUUAAAAUAAGGGAAAAUUAUGUGCAAAAACUCAAUGAAUGUUUAGUAAACCGUGCCUAGGUAUAAAAAGAGAAUGUUGGGCUUUCUGAUUAUGCUAUAUCAAGCCAAAAGUUUACUGGCUAAAAUCUGGUGGCCCUCAAAACCAGAGCAAAUAUUCAUAUAAAAGAUGCAGUGGACAUCAGUCUCAAGAGCUUCCUACUUAAAAUAUCUGCUUCCAAAGACUACAUGAUUCAUAGUAAUUCUCAGUAGUAUUAUAUUUCUUUCAAUUUCAAUUUUUAGCUUUCUAUAUACUUACCACACCAUCUCAUGGACAGAUCAAUAUUUUCUUGAACUUUUUCAUAUAUUAAUCUAUACACUAUCUCAGAUAUGUUUGUUUCUAGAUUGUCAGGGAUCUCUCCUAGAGAAUUCUGAGAUGUGUGAGAGGUUUAACAAGCAUAGAAAAUUGCUUAUUAAAAGUAAGCCAUAUUGUAAGUGGGAGGUAAAAGGAGAAAAGAAGCAAAAGUCCUCAUCUAAACUUGUAUGUGCUGAUACUGCACAAGGUUAUUCCAAUGAUGUCUGGUAUGGGGUAGGAAAGCAACUUUUCUUAUACAUUAUGACACAAAGUUCAUCAAAUAUGGUUGUUACAGACUUUUGGAGAACACCGAAAUUUUUCUUAGUAAUUUCUACAUUGAAAAACUACUGUUACCUUUAAACAAAACUAUCCAUUGCAAUAAAUCUGAAAUAGUUUUUUAAUAUUGCAAAACAGAAAAUUGAUGGCAUUAUUCACCGAAUGCUAAUAUUUUCCAAUAACACCUCACACCACAAUAUAUGUACCUUAUAUAGUUUAACACCUAUAGGAGUUCUUAACACAAUGGAUAGAUAAUUAAAGUAAAGAGUGAAAUGGGACUCAGAAACAACUUAUUAUAGUAAAAAUUAUUAUUACAUUAUUUCAAAUACUAGUCCACCCUUUUCCUUUUUUUCCCAAAAGUUAAUUUUUUAACCUUUGUUAUGAUAUUUCACUUUAUUUAAAUAAUAUAAUAAAUAGUACUGUGUUUUCAUAUAUACUCUCUGAUGCAUCUCAAAUAUAUUUGCAUACCCCAAGACCUUAGCAGAUUUGUAUACACAUUAUUCACUAGAGAAGCAGUAGUUACUUCUGAAAUCUAUAUUGCUCUUUUCAAAUGAGGUCUUACAGUUUUUUAAAAAUAUCUGAAAUAAUUAUAGUGAACUUAUUUCUAAUUAGCAUAUAGUAAGUGCCUGAUAAAUAUUUGUGAAAAAGAAUGAAGAAAUAAUAAGAGCAUUUAUAUAAUCUGUACAAUAUGGUAUGUGGUAUUUCAUGAGUUUAGCUACAACUUAUUGAAUAUUAUAACAAUCUUACUAUGCGAGUAAGAUGUGGGUUUGAUGAACCAAUAAUAAAUAAAAAUUGUAUGCUGCAUUGUUCCUAAUUCACCAAACAAUGUUUUCAAAAACAGACACUCUGAUGUGUGGUUUUUGUCAACUAUUAUAUUAUGAAUGAAUGAAGCUCAGUAAAUGAAAAAUUGGAACUACAUACUUGCUUAGGGUGCCUAUCAUUCAUUGUUAAAAAACCUUUAGCUAUAUACAAUUUCAAUACUGUAUGUACCAUUGUGAUAUAGUGGAAUUUUGAUAAAAUGUACAUUAAUAAUGCUGAAGUCUUUCAUUGAG
This 8664-nucleotide long non-coding RNA is filed under the name Marmota monax (woodchuck). Lineage: Eukaryota; Metazoa; Chordata; Mammalia; Rodentia; Sciuridae. The record is from RNAcentral.